AGACAGAAAUGAAGGGAGUCGAAGAAGACAACGACGAAGACACGUUCGUUUUGAAGGACUAUACUGCUCCUACUGCUUUUUCUUCUUCUUCUUUUUCUUCUUCUUCUUAUUGGUGGUAGUUA
RNAcentral lists this non-coding RNA (122 nucleotides) under uncultured Nitzschia. Lineage: Eukaryota; Bacillariophyta; Bacillariophyceae; Bacillariales; Bacillariaceae. The record is from RNAcentral.